CCCAUAAAUCAUUCUUCCAGUGCGAGUCAGUGGGCUGUGAUAUGAUCAAGAAACAAUCCUGUUACUAGUUGCAUGUCACUGAGAGUUUGGGAUUGUUACAUCCCUGACUCUGCUCUGACUAAUACAAAAUCUGCUGAAUAGAAGAACUCAAAUGAACCCAGCUGUUUAGGGAUUUUUUAAUGUCAUGUGUGGGAAAGAACAAGAUUGCUUGAUUUCCAGGAAGUUUAGAAAAAUGAAAGUGAGAGAGAAUCCCAUGGACAGCUUUCACUAAGAAGGCCCCAAGCCGGGACUGAGUCAGAGGGAGACGGUCACAACGAAGGAAGGCACAUUGUCUUAUUCCUGGGACACGCGAAGGCUGAUUCCAGUGGGUGUGGUUUUACCCAGGAUGUAUCUCAGGACUGACUUUAGUCCUAUUUGGAAAGAAACUUAGGCUUAAACCAUGAAAAGGUUCAUUUUUCUCUCAAGCUCAGAGUUAUGCAGUCCAAGGCAUUAUGAGAUCCAGCGUGACAUCAGGGACCUCGGCUUUCCCUUAUUCCUCCUAUACAGAUAAUCCAAAAAUCCAAGGCAAUUUCAUCAUCUUCCUUGCAGCCAAGGGCAGCCAAAUGAUUCAGGGCCAUCUGCUGAAGUCAAGGCGGCUGACAAUGGCUGGGAGAAGCUCCUGAGAGGUGGGCUUAAGAAAGUGAGUGAAUAAUAAGGUUGAUCCCAGACUGAGGCACAAGUGAAACAGUGCUGAAUACAACCACCGGCAGUGCCAGCGCUUGCCUUUAACUUCACACUCACAGCCUCUGAAGGUGAAAUCCUUUAGGACACAGUGCAAUAAAUUCCAGGUUCCUGCGAGCAGGGAAGGAACUGGGGAAGCUGAAGAAGGGAAGAAAAAGAAAGAGAGGAGAGGGAGGAGAAGGAGAGAGGAAGGAAGAAGGGAAGGGGAGGAGGAGGGAAGAGAAGGGGAGAGAAGGAAAGUAAAGAAGGGGACAGGGAAGGGAAGGAAUCAAAGGAGACUUUCUCUUGGUUUUGGUUGCAUAGGGAAGCU
RNAcentral lists this long non-coding RNA (1030 nucleotides) under Chinchilla lanigera (long-tailed chinchilla). RNAcentral's name for it is "lncRNA (ENSCLAG00000029116.1)". The record is from RNAcentral. Lineage: Eukaryota; Metazoa; Chordata; Mammalia; Rodentia; Chinchillidae.